ACCCAGCCUUCCCGCCUCCCUGGGCUCUGCUUCCUGGGCGGCUCAGGCUCCUUCCCAGGCCCGGCACCAGCUGCUCGCCCCCACGCCUCCCUCACCAGACCGCCAGCCGCCUCCCACGGGCCCUGCUCGUCCGGUAUAACUGACGACGUGACGUUCCUUUCAGGGGUACAACUCAGGGAUGUGACAAGUUUGCACGUUACGCCGUGCUCACAAGUAGCUACCUUCUGUCCCCACACGUCGUUAUCGCAGCGUCACCGACUGUAUUCCCCGAGCUGUGCCUUUCGUUCCCGUGACUUCCUUACUCCACACCUGGAAGCCCACACGUCUGAAAUCCAG
Lynx canadensis (Canada lynx) is the source of this 336-nucleotide long non-coding RNA. RefSeq lists it as uncharacterized. NCBI's taxonomy places the organism in Eukaryota, Metazoa, Chordata, Mammalia, Carnivora, Felidae. The transcript has 3 exons. The record is from RefSeq and is a predicted model, not a curated record.